GGGCUGGAGGUACCCCACCGCGGGGUGGUGCUCUGACUGCGGGAACCGUUGAAGAGCUGCCCCCGGGGAGUCAGCGAGGCGCCACUGGUCUCUUAGACAUCUUCUCAAGAUUAUGCUAAGAGAAAUGACUGCACCCUUUUCCUGAGCUAUGGCAGUCAGACCUGGCAGUGGUAACUACUCUACAGAACUCCCAAACCUGGCAAGGAUGCUGCAGAUUUUGGCAGAUUAUGGCUUUGUCCCCACCCAGCACUGAUGAUAUUAUGAAACCUAUACUACAAGAAAUGAUAAUGGAAGU
This 295-nucleotide long non-coding RNA is filed under the name Pan troglodytes (chimpanzee). RNAcentral describes it as "long non-coding RNA NONPTRT011064". The record is from RNAcentral. Lineage: Eukaryota; Metazoa; Chordata; Mammalia; Primates; Hominidae.